Molecule: long non-coding RNA, 372 nt
Filed under: Rattus norvegicus (Norway rat)
Lineage: Eukaryota; Metazoa; Chordata; Mammalia; Rodentia; Muridae
Description: long non-coding RNA NONRATT028733
Source: RNAcentral
GUCAGGCCGAGCCGCUCCGCUCACGAAAGGCAAACUGAGAUACAACUUGCUGAUUUUUGUGGUCACAUGAUAAUUUAAAAAUGGCAGAACUCUUUAUGGAAUGUGAAGAGGAGGAGCUAGAACCAUGGCAGAAGAAAGUGAAAGAAGUUGAAGAGGAUGAUGAUGAUGAGCCCAUCUUCGUAGCAGAGAUAGCAAGUUCAAAACCAGCUAUUUCAAAUAUUUUGAACAGAGUUAACCCGAGCUCUCAUUCAAGAGGAAUAAAGAAUGGUAUACUUAAUCGAGGUUUUACUGCUUCAUUCAAGCCUACAAGUCAACGCUGCCCGAAUUCAGCAUCAAAUCCUGUGGCUGCCUUGCCAGUAAAUUUUCAUCCUG